RNAcentral lists this ribosomal RNA (449 nucleotides) under uncultured bacterium. Its description in RNAcentral is "bacterial SSU rRNA". It matches the Rfam family "Bacterial small subunit ribosomal RNA", at positions 354 to 796 of the family's 1533-position model. The record is from RNAcentral.
GUAGGGAAUUUUCGUCAAUGGGCGCAAGCCUGAACGAGCAAUGCCGCGUGAGUGAGGAAGGCCUUCGGGUCGUAAAGCUCUGUUGCGAGGGAAAAAGGAACGGAAGAGGAAAUGAUUCCGUUUUGAUGGUACCUCGCCAGAAAGUCACGGCUAACUACGUGCCAGCAGCCGCGGUAAUACGUAGGUGGCAAGCGUUAUCCGGAAUGAUUGGGCGUAAAGGGUGCGCAGGCGGCAUAUCAAGUCUGAAGUGAAAGGUACGGGCUCAACCUGUACAGGCUUUGGAAACUGGUAUGCUCGAGGACAGGAGAGGGCGGUGGAACUCCACGUGUAGCGGUAAAAUGCGUAGAGAUGUGGAAGAACACCAGUGGCGAAGGCGGCCGCCUGGCCUGUAACUGACGCUCAGGCACGAAAGCGUGGGGAGCAAAUAGGAUUAGAAACCCCAGUAGUCC